AAACAUUAUUCAAUCUAGUAGUUGACUUUGUUCUUGACUAAUUUGGGUGCCUUCGUGUGGAUACCAUGAGUUUGAUUCGACUCUUGAAUAGGUUUCCAAAAUAAUCGAAUCAAAGAGAAGGAGCCGUCAACAAAGAUGGCUUGUGUUCAUGUAAUGUCUUUGAUAUAUAAGGUCAUCUACUUAUAUGUUGAUGAUUAUAACGAUGCUGGUUUGCAUCCGAAAAAGUUUCAACUGUAACAUGUUCGUAUUUUACACAUGUGCCGCAGGUUGCAGAGAUUUUUUCUGUCGAAAGUAGAACAGAACUUUCAGUGCAUCGUUCUUCUUUUUUUAUUUUUUUUAUUUUCGCAUUGUGUAAUAUUUUGAUGGGCAAACCCGGUUUUAGAUUUCUGGUUUUACAUUCUCUAUCUAUUUUCCUUAUUGUCCGAGAUUCAAUUGUUACUGGAGAGAGGAGAACCAAACAAUGAAACAAACACUCUGUUUUUGAGA
This is a long non-coding RNA of Pistacia vera, 486 nucleotides long. RefSeq lists it as uncharacterized. NCBI's taxonomy places the organism in Eukaryota, Viridiplantae, Streptophyta, Magnoliopsida, Sapindales, Anacardiaceae. The record is from RefSeq and is a predicted model, not a curated record. The transcript is spliced from 2 exons.